UGGGGAAUCUUGGACAAUGGGGGCAACCCUGAUCCAGCGAUGCCGCGUGAGUGAUGAAGGCCUUCGGGUUGUAAAACUCUUUCACCUGCGAAGAUAAUGACGGUAGCAGGAUAAGAAGCACCGGCAAACUCUGUGCCAGCAGCCGCGGUAAGACAGAGGGUGCUAGCGUUGUUCGGAAUGACUGGGCGUAAAGGGCGCGUAGGCGGCCAAUCAAGUCAGAUGUGAAAGCCCCGGGCUUAACCUGGGAUGUGCAUUUGAUACUGGUUGGCUGGAGUACGAGAGAGGAAAGUGGAAUUCCUAGUGUAGAGGUGAAAUUCGUAGAUAUUAGGAGGAACACCAGAGGCGAAGGCGGCUUUCUGGCUCGUAACUGACGCUGAGGCGCGAAAGCGUGGGGAGCAAA
This 400-nucleotide ribosomal RNA is filed under the name uncultured bacterium. Its description in RNAcentral is "bacterial SSU rRNA". It matches the Rfam family "Bacterial small subunit ribosomal RNA", at positions 355 to 772 of the family's 1533-position model. The record is from RNAcentral.